GUGCCCCACCUCCCUGCUGUCAGCGCCUAGAUGGUUGUGUGGUUGCUGGGAAUUGAACUCAGGACCUCUAGAAGAACAGUCAGUGCUCUUAACCUCUGAGCCAUCUCUCCAGCCAAGAGAUCACUCUUGCAUUGUGACACCAUGCAACGCUUCCGUGGUCUCUCCUGGUCUCCACUUCACAGAGAAGUGCACCAAAGAACUUCUUGUAGUAUUCUGGCUGAGUGCUGCCGCUUCUGUUGACUCUUGCCAAUUCAGCAGAAUCGUACGUUCCUGCUGGAUCCAGCGCUGCUACUGAUUCCCGUGUGGUGUUUGCUAUUGGACUGGACUGCUGGUAUCCUGACAACGAAGAGCUGAGUUGCCCAAAAAACUAAAAUGUCUACAACUCCCUUUUCCUAUUAACCUUCUACCCCACCCCCAACCUCCAGUCGGCGGCUUAGAAGGGCGGUUGACGUGUUCAAGAACCCUAAAUAAAGUAGG
RNAcentral lists this long non-coding RNA (477 nucleotides) under Mus caroli (Ryukyu mouse). RNAcentral describes it as "RIKEN cDNA A430102K17 gene (MGP_CAROLIEiJ_G0006159.1)". The record is from RNAcentral. Lineage: Eukaryota; Metazoa; Chordata; Mammalia; Rodentia; Muridae.